RNAcentral lists this ribosomal RNA (440 nucleotides) under uncultured bacterium. Its description in RNAcentral is "partial 16S ribosomal RNA". It matches the Rfam family "Bacterial small subunit ribosomal RNA", at positions 338 to 795 of the family's 1533-position model. The record is from RNAcentral.
CCUACGGGCGGCAGCAGUGGGGGAUAUUGCACAAUGGGGGAAACCCUGAUGCAGCGACGCCGCGUGAGUGAAGAAGUAUUUCGGUAUGUAAAGCUCUAUCAGCAGGGAAGAAAAUGACAGUACCUGACCAAGAAGCCCCGGCUAACUACGUGCCAGCAGCCGCGGUAAUACGUAGGGGGCAAGCGUUAUCCGGAUUUACUGGGUGUAAAGGGAGCGUAGGCGGCAGUGCAAGUCUGGAGUGAAAGGCGGGGGCUCAACCCCCGGAGUGCUCUGGAAACUAGACGGUUGUAGUGCAGGAGAGGUAAGUGGAAUUCCUAGUGUAGCGGUGAAAUGCGUAGAUAUUAGGAGGAACACCAGUGGCGAAGGCGGCUUACUGGACUGUAACUGACGUUGAGGCUCGAAAGCGUGGGGAGCGAACAGGAUUAGAUACCCGAGUAGUC